UACUAAAGACAAACAUUUAUUUAUUAAAAUAAAAUUGUCUAGUUCCUGAGGUCUUCAUGAAUGUAGAAAUAUUAUUUUUCAUUAAGUCGAUUUCUUAGCUCAUUAAGAUAUCUCUAAUUUGUUUCCCAGUUUCUGGAGUUAGCACAAUGCCUGACAUUAUAUUAAUGUGUGUUGAAAGAGUGAAUUAAAUUCCCAGAUUUUUUAUUUAUUGCUUUACCAUAAGUUGGAGUUGGAAAAAUAAAAUGUACUUUGAUUGACAUAAAUACUGCUUCUUGCUAUUGACAGGUUAACAGGCAUCCUCAGACCGUCAAAAUCAAAGAUUAGAAAUGGAAAUGGAACAUAAAGGAGAUGACAGAAAAUCUUCUAAAGCAAGCACAGGCACUAACGUUUAAAACUCUAAGAGAACAAAGUCACAGAACUCCUUAUUAGCCUCCUGAUUUAUAAGUCUAAUUUCCCUUUUUAUCAUAUCUACACACUUACAUAUAAACACACCAUUAGUCACAGGGUACUCGAAGGUGCUUUAGAAAGCCAGGUAGGGACUUGGGGACAGAAUUCCUUCAGUACGUUCUAAUGAACUAACAGCUGUGACACAUAGAUCAUCAGCCGCAGGAGCCUGAAGGCACCCUAGGGAUCAUCUUCUCAACCCCCUUAAUUAUAAAGAUCAGAAUAAAUGAGAUCGAAGAAAAGUUGUUGACUUAUCCAAGGUUACCCUGCUUGGUAGUGGCAGAACCAAGUUCAGAUCUCAGGUGGAUGAAGCCAUGCCAGUGUUGAUCUAUUUGACACAAAGCAGGGAAUGUUAACCUGGAAAAUGCUUUGCCUACUCAGUCAGCAAAUAUGACUUGGUCACCUACUCUGCAUAGGUCGGUGUGCUGGGCAUUGUGUGUACAGAAGUGGAUACUAGGAGGUCUCACUGUGAAGCUUGCUAGUUUCUGAGGAGUUAGACAUGUAACAAGAUGCAUUACUGUAGACUGUUUUAAGUGCUACAUCAGGGACAUGGAGAAAAUGCUGAGAAGUUGCCGAGGAGGGACUCACCAGUUUAUUGCAAUGCAUUUGUCAUGUCCCUCCAAGUCACUGAACAAUUUCUUUCCAGGGACUUGUGGUGAGGGGAUAUGUCACAUAACCUACUUUGGACUUGACAGAAAUGACCUGACUGUCCAAGGUGUUUCCAGUCCCAUUACAGUGCAUAAACCUGUGGUUUGUGAUUGCUUUUGAUUUGAUUAAGAAGCACUGAAAGAAUAAUUCCUAAAUAUAGGCUCUGAUAUGUAUACAGAGAUGAAGAAGUAUUUAGAUAUUUUUCAAAGAAAAAAAAAUAGGGAAAAUAUAUUUCAUUUUUAUAGGAUGUCAAGUGGAGGAUUCCCACAUGCCAUCUGGGAGUAGUUUUUCAAUUUGCCUUUCCAAGAUGCAAUGUCCUAUAUAUCUUUAGUUUGCCCACGAAUUUCUUUUUUUCCAGAGUACAGCUCACAUAAAAGAACUAUAGCCCUGCCCUUUGAGCCUCCUUUCUCCUGGUCUCCUUGUCCUCCCCAAUAACAAAUGCAGGCAUAUUGAACCAGAUAUAUUUCUCCUCAGUUUUCCUUAUCUGUUGCAAGAUGAUAUUACAAAACAUUCAUCCCUACACUUCCACUUCCCCUCCUUUUUAUUCUCCAGUUGUGGACAUUUUUGGAACCCUCUUUCAGAAUUCUUCAGCCCACUUCUGAUUUCAGCUACAGUUACGGUGAACAGUUCUAAGCACCUUGAUAGCAUCCCAUCUCAAACAUCCUCUGUGCCUCCCUCCAAGGCCUUGGGAGUCUCGUCCAACUCAAAUGCAGGUAUCAUGGAAAUAUAGGGAAGUUAUUGCCUCCAGGAAACUCCUUAACCAGUUUGAAAGUGUAAUAUUUUAUCUUCUUAUCUUUUGGCAUUAAAAUUCCAAGGAGCAUUCUAUACAGUACCUUAGAUAUUUCCCAGAGAGGUUGAACUCCAGUUGCUCAUGGCAAUACUCAUUUCGAUAAUGAUCCUGCUAUUGUUCAUUAUAUACCCCCAACCUCUCACUCUCGCUCUUGCUCCCUUAUUGCAGGUGAUCCCUCUGAUCACCUCCCAAAUAAACUACCUACAUCCCAAUCCUUGUCUCAGGAGUUGCUGUGGAUCAAAGCUAAAGCAUUUCAAAAUCUGAACUCUUUUUCUAAACAUCAUCUCUAGCCUUGAUCAACACGUUAUCAUUACUGCUUUGACAUUAGGAUAACCUUUGUUCUUGAACUAAGUCAUUGGUUGCUACUCUAUAUAAAACCACUUAAAAUGGUUGCAUGUCCAAAAUUUUCUAACCAGUACAUUAAAAAUAAUGGCGCUAAAUCUGUUCAAUGGUGUAGUAAAUGGAAAAAGCUAGCAGGGCAAGUGGACCAAGAAACUAUAUAAGCUGAGAUGAAACACUGCUUUUCUGCACUAAAUUUUACUUCUCCAGAGGCCUUAUUGGAGAGAGAGAAAACAUGUGACAUGUUUGCAGUAGGUCUACUUGUAUUACUGCUCAAAGAGUUUAUUGGUCCCAGCUGUUUGCUUAGAAACUGUCAAUUUUAGGUGAAAGGCUUACUUUAUUAUUUUCUUCUUCUUUUCCCUUAGAAAAAUAACAAGUGUUCAUUGGAAAAUGUAGAAUAUUUAGAAAAAUAUAAAGAAGGAAAUAAUCAUGCAUAAUGCCAUAUCCCAUUAGUGUUUACUAAAUUAGUGUUUUACUAAUGUCCUUUUAGUUUUGAGAAUCUGUAUGGAAGACAAUAGUGGAAGUAAAGCUAAGGAGAGAGAGGGAAGAGGUUAUAUUUUUGUGUUCUAUUUUUCUCCUUAUCAUUUUAUAAUGUCAUUAAGAAAAUCUUUUUACUAUCAUUUUAAGAUGCCACAAAUUAUUCUACUCUUAAGUUUUUCAAUUUUCCUUUAUUACAAUAACAAUGGGAUAAUAUCAUCUGACAAUAUUUUAUAUAUAAAACUGAUAUUUCUUUUAUAUAGGACCUUGUAAAUGGGAUAAAUGGGUAAAAGAGCAUGUGCAUGUACUGUGAUUUUGAUGCUUAUUGCCAAAUUUCUCUAUAUGUUUUAUGAUAUGUAUUUCCUUGUAGGGCUGGCUUCAUGAGUGUGUGAGCUAUGCAGUUUUAAAGGGAUCCAUGGUUAGAAGGAUCCCAUGUGUGGCUUAAUUCUCUUUGCAGAAAUUCACUUUUUAAUUUUUUAAAAAUUGAAGUAUAGUUGAUUUACAGUGUUUCAUGUGUACAGCAAAGCAAUUCAGUUAUAUAUAUGUAUAUACAUACACACACAUGUAUGCAUAUACAUAUGUAUAUACGCAUAUACAUAUAUGUACAUAUAUACGUAUACACAUAUGUAUGCAUAUACAUAUAUAUACAUAUGUAUGCAUAUACAUAUAUAUAUGUACGUAUAUACAUAUAUAUUCUUUUUUAGGUUCUUUUCCAUUAAAGAUUUUUACAAGAUAUUGAAUAUAGUUCCUUGUGCUAUAUAGUAGGUCCUUGUCAUUUAUCUAUUUUUAUAUAGAGUGUGUAUCUGAUAACCCCAAAUUUCCAUUUUUAUUUAUCCCCCUCUUUCCCCUUUGGUAAGUGUAAGUUUGUCUUCCAUGUUUAUAGUCUAUUUCUGUUUUGUAAAUAAGUUUGUGUCAUUUUUUAAUAUUCCAAAUAUGUGAUAUCAUAUGAGGUUUGUCUCACUUCUCUUAAUAUGAUAAUUUCUAGGUCCAUCCAUGUUGCUGCAAAUGGCAUUAUUUUAUUCUUUUUUCAUGCCUGGAUAAUAUUCUACCGUGUGUGUGUGUGUAUCACAUCUUCUUUAUCCACUCAUCUGUUGAUGGACAUUUAGAUUGCUUCCAUGUUUUGACUAUUGUAAAUAGUGCAGUUAUGCUCAAAUUCUUCAUGAUUUUUAAAUAAGAGACCUCCAUUUUCAUUUUGCACAAAUUAUGUAGCUGGUCCUGCAUCCACGAGAAAAUAAGAAGAAAACAAACAUCAUGUGAAAAGUAUUUCGUAAUGGGAGAGAGGGAGAAUUAUGUGACAGCAAAGAUUCAAAUGGAAAUCUUUUUUCCUAAUUUCUUUCUCUUUAGUCUCUCUCUGUUUAUCAUUGGGUAUUAUCUAUAUAGAUCCAGUCAGGUUUGUCGUUGUCUUUAUUGUUUGUGUGGUUUGUUUUUGUCUCAAACCCACGGACAAGAUUAAACUGUUUUAGUGAGGCUGACUCAAGAGCUUCAGAUAGUAUGAGUCUGAUGAGAAAAGAUGAAACCAUUUCUUCCUUUGGCUGUUUUUGUACUUACAUGGGACUAUGACACAUUUCAAAGAUCUGAGUAGGAAAUUGCUCCUGGGCUAAUGGUUAAUUUUAGUUUUGUGAGAUGGAAAAUAAUACCCACAUCUAUAAGUAUAACUUUGUCUUAAAGAUAGUGCUGGGGCUGGAGUUUUAUAACAAAAAACCCCAAUAAUAUAGUCUAAAGACAGGGCCCCAAAACAACUUGAGACAUAUCUAUGCGCCUAUUUCCCUGUGUAUCUGUAUCUUUCUCUUGUUAAUAUUUUUAACAUGUUAAUCAUUUUAGAUUAGAGUAGUAAGUUUCUUUAGCUUUAAGCAUGUUUUUUUUUUUCUGUUUUAUGAAAGAUAUUUUAAACUAUUUUCCUAAUUUUACUUUAGCCAGUUGUAUAUACCCUGAUUUUGGUAUGCUUUUGACUUUUAAUAGUUUAUGUGAAAGUACAAAUGAAUUAUAUUUUUUAUUCAGCCAUUCAGCUUGAUUGAUUAUCUUCAAUGAUUGUAUAUGUUUUUUUUAAAUAAGCUUUAUUUGAGUACAAUUGACUUAGGAAGUUGUUAGUUUCAGGUGUAUAGCAAAGUAAAUCAGUUAUGCAUAUACAUAUAUCUGAUUUUAGAUUCUUUUAGCAUUCUAUGACCUACAUCAUGGCAACAUGACAGAUCUUUUCCCACUGGCAUUUUAUAAUUCCUUUUCUUUUACAUAUACUGAAGUAUUUGUUGGGACUUUCAAUUUUAAGCUCUGGAACUCAAUUAUAAGCAUGAGCUAAAAAUUAGUAGCGCUGAGGCUCCUUGAAGAAUUUAUACUCAGCCCUAUGUGUUUAUGUCCAUCUUUUGCGAGAAUUAUGGUGUGUUCAUGUUUUGAAAACCCCACCAAAGAAGGGAUACUGGCAGAUAAAACAGAAUUUGUACCUCACUGUGCAAUCUACGACCAGUAUUAUUUCCUUUCUGGAGUCAUAUUGAGAUUAUAUAUGCUUUUUACUGUGGAUUCAAGUCUUACAACAUGAAAAAGUAUCAAAUAGUGAAGUUGCCCACUCUUCAAGUGGCAAUGAUUGUUUCAUGUAAAAUUGCUUAAAUGCAAAAUAAAUACAAAAUAAAAAAUGCUUUAAAAUAUAGCCCCAUAAUUGGCUUUGUUUGAAAAUUAACUUAAAAUUCAUGAAACGAAAAUAACUUUGAAAAAGGCCCAUAUUUAUCAACUUGACAACAUCACAUUAAGACAAAUAAAAUUUAAAAAGUACUGCUCUAUACUGAAAAAAUUUUUAGAAUAAUUGACAUAGAACUGUAGGCAGAUUGGCCGGUUCAUUGGAGAACUGCUAAUCAAACAAAUACAUAACUUGCUAAAAUAUAUUUAAAAUUAUUUAGAAAUUCAAAAGGGUAUGGAGACUCCCAAAUUCUGAAAAAUGGGAAAAGCUUUCUCAUCUUACCUUAGCAUUACAAUUAUACAAAGACUAGUGAUGGGGAAAAUUUAUUUUUAACUGACUUAACAUUUUGACCAUUUUUAUUUUAACCACCCCAUUUGCAGUCACUGAACAUGAGCACGAGGCUUAAAAUUGGAGAACAGUAGUGAUAAUGCAUAUUACCAUUUUCUAGAAUAUUAAAACUUGGCAUUCAUCUAGUUUAGUUUUUUUGCUAUUGCUGUUUGGGAUGAUGGGAUGAUGUAAUUCUCUAUUUCAAUCAUUUUCUGUCACCUCUUUGAAGCUGUUGUAGCUGUGGUUGGCUUGUCUAUCCUCCUUUCCUAUUUGUUUUUGCAGUUCUUCAUUGAGUAUUUAUGUAGUACAUUAUUUAGAGCAUGUCAUUUGGAGGGUAAUAUAUGGGUUAUUUUCCAAAUAUAGUCAAUUCAUAGGUGGAAAUGUUGAGCCCAGUUUGUACCAUUUUGUCCUCAUUUGGUAUAUUUUUCACUAUACCCAACAGCCUUGCUGUAGUUUUCAGAAAAAUUUAAAAAUAAUAUGUCACAUGGAGUUCCUGUCAUGGCACAGCGGAAACAAAUCCGACUAGGAAUCAUGAGGUU
Molecule: long non-coding RNA, 6229 nt
Filed under: Sus scrofa (pig)
Lineage: Eukaryota; Metazoa; Chordata; Mammalia; Artiodactyla; Suidae
Description: lncRNA (ENSSSCG00015022287.1)
Source: RNAcentral